CUUAGCUCUUCAAAUCAACUUCACUAAUACACUCAAGAGCACCAAAGGAAGGAAUUUCAUGGAGUAGAUUCUAGUUUAAGGACUUGAGUUGGGUGAUUUGAGCUUGUUGGAAGCUUAAACUUGGAAGAGUUUUUCUUUCUUCUUUGAUGAGAGGUUCGGCCAACACAAGGGAAGAAAAUGGUGAAUUUUGUGAAUUUUUGGAGAUAUUUAACCAAUUUUGGUCAAAGGUCAAAUAGUGAAUAGUAACUCUUAAAGUCAAACCAAUGGAAAAUUGACACUUGGCACUCUAAUAAAUGCAUUCCUAUCCUUUCUUUUCUCUCUCACAUCAAUCAAAUCUCACUCUCUACUUAUCUCGUAACAUCCGAUAACUUUUCCACAGUAUCCGAAACUUAACCGUAUUGGCCGAAUUUUCCCGAACUUUUCGCACUUGUGGGUCCCACGUCCAAUAUAUAUUCUUAAUUUUCUAAAAACUAUCCAAUACGAGAAAACUCAUCUUAAAACUAAAAUUACUCAUAAAAUUCACCAGGAAAAUAUUCCUAAGCCAGAAAAUGCAGAAAACAUGCAAUUAAGGGGAAAUAAACCCUAGGAAAAAUAUUAGGGUUUUACGGGUUCUCACACUCUCCCCCCCUUAAAAGAAUUUCGUCCUCGAAAUUCCUUAUCAGCGGAAUCCCUCAAAUCUAAGGUACCCAACGGAUCAAGCAAAUGACUAGCCCAAAUUGCCUACCUAGGCUCUCAUCUCUUCCGUAUCCGGGCACAAGAAUCCCAUCUAAGAUAAUUCACAACUCGAGCCGGCCGGUCCCAAGAGUAAACCAUCCUUAUUAAAGAUUCCUACCCGACAUACAUACCUAGUUUCCUCGAGUCCCAUGAUAAUGAUUCGCACACUUAUCACAUGCCCGGUUCAUAACUUACGCUCAAACGAGCACUUAAACGCAUUCAUGAAAUUAGGACCACAACACCACUUGGCCCAGUCUCACUCCGCGCAGAGACCACGCGAAGUGGCUCUGAUACCACUUGUAACAGCCCCACUUUCCCCUAAGGCGAACCAAAGGGGUUAGCGGACUGCCUGCCCAACUCUCGCCAGGACUACGGAUCAGAUUAGAGCUAUCCGCUUCAACCCGGAACUUACAAACUCGCGUAAACAAAUCAAAACAGUAAAACAACCCAAGAUAAAAUGAGAUGAAAUCCGGAGCCGGCCAUGAAUAGUAACCGACCCGUCAGAACCCAACCGAAAUAGCUAACAAACAUUUUCAUCUGAUCUUUAGCGUUUACAAAUCAAAAUGACAUACAAAAGCUUUCAAAAGAUAAUACAUAUACACGGUUUGCCAAAUCAAAAGAGAAAACGCCCCAAAAGUACACUUAGGGUUUUAAUACAUGAGCUAUACAAAAGAUAUGUUCAACUAGCUCAAGUCGGCAACCGAUUAUCAAAUCCAGUCCAAAAGUAUUUAUUUUUCCUGUAAGGAAAACAAAAGGAACAGAACGGGGUGAGCUUGCGCUCAAUGAGGUACCAAACAGAUAGCAUUAAAAUCAUGGCAUUUCACAUUUAACAAAUCAGAUACACAUGUCAGAUGUAAAGCAAAGGAACCAAUGAUUCAAAUCAGAAGGAUACGGGUGGCUCUCAGGAGCCAAAUUUCCAGCGCAAUACUUGAUCCAAACCGGUUGACUCUCCGUCAACGUAUAUAGAACCAAUGCGUCCGUAGACCCCUCUUAUCACCGAAUUCCGUCCACCAAACACCCCUUUACCGGGCCCGCUCACCUCAAACGAACAAAAAUGGUAAUACUCGAGUAUACCCGGAAUCAAGGGUCUCAAUACCCAAAAUCCCCGAACAGACUACCGUGGUUCGUUAUCUAAUCGUCCAGGCCCUUGCCGGCCCGACUCGAAUAACUUAGCCACAGGAUUGAGCUCAUAGGUCAUAGAAAUCCGAACAGAAAUCCGAACAGAUGCAGACACAGAUAACAGAUUCAAAUUUUGCAUAGUAAAUUGGCAUAUGAGCAGACUAGAGAACGAGUGUGAUAAAGUACACCCUCUGUCUCGAACAAAUAAACAGAUUGCAGAGCAGAAAUCAAGUUAAAUAGCAAUGGAGGGGAGUGGUACACUCACCGGCUCAACUUCAAAAGUUUUCACUUCAGAUUGGCCUUAAUCGCCAAGAAACCCUAAAAUAAUCAAAAUAAAUCAAUUGAAGGUUUUACUUCCAGAAUCGAGUAAACACAAUGCACAUGAGGCUCGACUACUAGUCGUAUGCCUCGCCAAAAUAAUUACUAAUGCAAGGGUGGAAAACAUGAUUUUCUUGGAAACAAAAAGCUAACAUGAAGACUUAGGCGCAAACAACCCAAAAGCCUUUCAUUCUACCAAAAGGCAAAUCCAACUUAAAGGAACCAACGGCCUAGAAAAUUGGGCAGCACUUCCCCUGAAAUUCUUACUUUUCCAGCCAUUAAGGCUUCAUUAUUUUUCUUCAAUCACAACCCAACAACACACAGAUAAGCAUUUCAUGUCAAGAGCCGUUCCAUAGGCUCACAAUAUCAUAAAACAAGAAACCAUACCGAGCCAUAAACAACACCAAUUCACAACCCCAAUAGGGUUUUAUAAACAUAUACAAGCAUGAAAGCAAACCAGAAAUUAAGAAAGGGCUUUAACCUAAGCCUUGAUAAGAAAACCGGAUUUGACCUCAUAAUGCGGUAAUGGCACAACUCUCACUACAAAUAUCGGAUGGGGGUGUAAGACCCACCAUUUCGAAGCCAAGAAACAGAGCUACAACAAUGUAGAAGGCCUCUCAGUCCAAAUCCUAGCACAACUAGGUCAAAAGUGCCAAAUACCAAACCAGAAUUACCAAAACAGGUUUGCAAAACACACAAAACUGUAAUACGUCAAUCUCAGCCUACACAGGUCCAAAUGCCGAAAUUCCAAAGGCAUAAGUUAGCUAAAACAUCCAGCUACAUUUACUCAAAAGACACCAACUUCAAAAUCCAAACCAAUUCCAGUCAAAACAGGCAAUUACUAUCGCAGUUCGGACAUUCUGUGCACCAAAAACAGCAACAGUAAAAACGGCAUAACUCUCUCUAUACUACUCCAAAUGCCCUGAAAUUUUGCAGGCACUUCAAAAUCAUCAAUACCUACAACUUUCAUGUUUUGAGCAAAGUCCAAUUCGGCCUCUAGCUAUGACCUAAAAUUUCGGACAGAAUAGGGGUUCAUGAACCCUAACUUUUCACAUUUCAUUCCAAAUCCAAAAUUGGUUGCAUUUAACCACAAUUCACACCUACUAGAGCCAAAGCCCCUUAUUACCAACCAUCAUACUAGUCCAAAACAUCAAAAUCAUAUGAAACCAGAAAAUUCAUCAUAAAAUGGAAAACUUCACCAAAACUCUUCAAAUCAAGAAAUAAAUCACAUUUUCCAACACUCAAGCCACUUCUAAGCAUAAUAUAACCAUCAUUAGAUGUAGUAGGGUGUUCAAGCAUCACUUACCAAGCAAUCAAGAGAGAUAGGGAGUGUGGACACCUUAGCUCUUCAAAUCAACUUCACUAAUACACUCAAGAGCACCAAAGGAAGGAAUUUCAUGGAGUAGAUUCUAGUUUAAGGACUUGAGUUGGGUGAUUUGAGCUUGUUGGAAGCUUAAACUUGGAAGAGUUUUUCUUUCUUCUUUGAUGAGAGGUUCGGCCAACACAAGGGAAGAAAAUGGUGAAUUUUGUGAAUUUUUGGAGAUAUUUAACCAAUUUUGGUCAAAGGUCAAAAUAGUGAAUAGUAACUCUUAAAGUCAAACCAAUGGAAAAUUGACACUUGGCACUCUAAUAAAUGCAUUCCUAUCCUUUCUUUUCUCUCUCACAUCAAUCAAAUCUCACUCUCUACUUAUCUCGUAACAUCCGAUAACUUUUCCACAGUAUCCGAAACUUAACCGUAUUGGCCGAAUUUUCCCGAACUUUUCGCACUCGUGGGUCCCACGUCCAAUAUAUAUUCUUAAUUUUCUAAAAACUAUCCAAUACGAGAAAACUCAUCUUAAAACUAUAAUUACUCAUAAAAUUCACCAGGAAAAUAUUCCUAAGCCAGAAAAUGCAGAAAACAUGCAAUUAAGGGGAAAUAAACCCUAGG
RNAcentral lists this long non-coding RNA (4078 nucleotides) under Coffea arabica (coffee). RNAcentral describes it as "long non-coding RNA (CARA_LNC000165)". Lineage: Eukaryota; Viridiplantae; Streptophyta; Magnoliopsida; Gentianales; Rubiaceae. The record is from RNAcentral.